Molecule: small RNA, 82 nt
Filed under: Flavobacterium degerlachei
Lineage: Bacteria; Pseudomonadati; Bacteroidota; Flavobacteriia; Flavobacteriales; Flavobacteriaceae
Description: Flavo-1 RNA
Rfam family: Flavo-1 RNA
Source: RNAcentral
AAAUAGCCCUGAUAGCAGUGAAAAUCCUUUUUAUUUUUUUCUUUAAAAAACAAAAAGAUUGUAACGAAUAGCAGGAAAUAGC